Molecule: ribosomal RNA, 128 nt
Filed under: uncultured eukaryote
Lineage: Eukaryota
Description: partial small subunit ribosomal RNA
Rfam family: Eukaryotic small subunit ribosomal RNA
Source: RNAcentral
CCCUGCCCUUUGUACACACCGCCCGUCGCUACUACCGAUUGGAUGGUUUAGUGAGGUCCUCGGAUCGGCCCCGCCGGGGUCGGCCACGGCCCUGGCGGAGCGCCGAGAAGACGAUCAAACUUGACUAU